CGAAACCGGGUGACCUAUCCAUGGCCAGGUUGAAGCGAGGGUAAAACCUCGUGGAGGACCGAACCACGUUGCUGUUGAAAAAGCAUGGGAUGAGCUGUGGAUAGCGGAGAAAUUCCAAUCGAACCCGGAGAUAGCUGGUUCUCUCCGAAAUAGCUUUAGGGCUAGCGUCGAGUAUGAGUAGUGGAGGUAGAGCACUGAAUGGGCUAGGGGGCAUAGCGCUUACCGAACCUUAUCAAACUCCGAAUGCCACAUACUUUGAGCUCGGCAGUCAGACUACGAAUGAUAAGAUCCGUGGUCAAAAGGGAAACAGCCCAGAUCGUCAGCUAAGGUCCCAAAGUGUAAGUUAAGUGGGAAAGGAUGUGAGAUUUCUAAGACAACUAGGAUGUUGGCUUAGAAGCAGCCAUUCAUUAAAAGAGUGCGUAAUAGCUCACUAGUCGAGAGAUCUUGCGCCGAAAAUGUAACGGGGCUAAACUUACC
Molecule: ribosomal RNA, 477 nt
Filed under: Clostridium perfringens
Lineage: Bacteria; Bacillati; Bacillota; Clostridia; Eubacteriales; Clostridiaceae
Description: partial 23S ribosomal RNA
Rfam family: Bacterial large subunit ribosomal RNA
Source: RNAcentral